CUACGGGUUGCUGCAGUGGGGAAUAUUGGACAAUGGGGGAAACCCUGAUCCAGCAAUGCCGCGUGUGUGAAGAAGGCCUGCGGGUUGUAAAGCACUUUCGGUUGGGAGGACUGCUUCUAGCACUAAUAUUGUUGGAAGUUGACGUUACCUUCAGAAGAAGCACCGGCUAACUCCGUGCCAGCAGCCUCGGUAAUACGGAGGGUGCAAGCGUUAAUCGGAAUUACUGGGCGUAAAGCGCGCGUAGGCGGCUAGAUCAGUCGGGUGUGAAAGCCCCGGGCUUAACCUGGGAACUGCAUCCGAUACUGUCUAGCUUGAGUACAGGAGAGGAGAGUGGAAUUCCACAUGUAGCGGUGAAAUGCGUAGAUAUGUGGAGGAACACCAAUGGCUAAGGCAGCUCUCUGGCCUGAUACUGACGCUGAGGUGCGAAAGCGUGGGGAUCAAACAGGAUUAGAUACCCCCGUAGUC
This 465-nucleotide ribosomal RNA is filed under the name uncultured bacterium. RNAcentral describes it as "partial 16S ribosomal RNA". It matches the Rfam family "Bacterial small subunit ribosomal RNA", at positions 339 to 795 of the family's 1533-position model. The record is from RNAcentral.